CAUCAAUUUUCACUCUCCUUCCCCAUCCUUUUUCUUACGCAUAGAAGUCUGUUUGCUGUAAGUCUGCCUGCUGUAUUUUACACGGCAGUUUCCAUCUUUCCCUUUCUUCCUCUUAGUUUAUUCUUUUCCUUUGUCUCUUUCAACGUACAAACCGUUGCUUUCUCUUCCCUUAAACGUGAUACUUCCAUUUCUGCUCCCUCUUGAACGACCAAACUCCAUACUUAGUUUCCUCUACCGAAAAAUUUAUAAGUUUGUGUGUUGCUGUUGCCAUCAUACCACAUCACAAUCUUCUGCGGUUUCGGCUCAACACCAUCACCAAGAGGAUCAAGGCUGGUCUCUAUGUUGCUGUUCAACCACCAAUGAGAGCCGCCGUUAGCUGUGUUUAGGUCCAUAAAUGGAGGAAGGCUAGAUCGUGUACAGUUGGUCGCAAGAAAGGAGGAAUAGGACUCUCGCUAUCUCCUUCCAAGUGAUGACGGGUUUUCCGUCAAGACUGGAUGUAGGGUGACAGCUCACCCCGAGAUAUUGAGAAGUAUGGUAUUGUAAUAGUAAACCCCAAUUUUAUAAAUAGAAGCUUAGUUAGUGGUUAAUCGAAUAGCUUCACUUUUGUAUCAAACCUUGGGGUGUUAAACUGGUCUAUUUACAUAGAUAUGAUAAUGUUGUAGUUGUGGUUAGUGAAAAAUAAUAUCCUACGUUUCUAUCC
Eucalyptus grandis is the source of this 700-nucleotide long non-coding RNA. RefSeq lists it as uncharacterized. The transcript has 2 exons. The record is from RefSeq and is a predicted model, not a curated record. NCBI's taxonomy places the organism in Eukaryota, Viridiplantae, Streptophyta, Magnoliopsida, Myrtales, Myrtaceae.